UUAAGUUAUUAAGGGCGCACGGUGGAUGCCUUGGCACUAGAAGCCGAUGAAGGACGUUACUAACGACGAUAUGCUUUGGGGAGCUGUAAGUAAGCUUUGAUCCAGAGAUUUCCGAAUGGGGAAACCCAGCAUGAGUUAUGUCAUGUUAUCGAUAUGUGAAUACAUAGCAUAUCAGAAGGCACACCCGGAGAACUGAAACAUCUUAGUACCCGGAGGAAGAGAAAGAAAAUUCGAUUCCCUUAGUAGCGGCGAGCGAAACGGGAAGAGCCCAAACCAACAAGCUUGCUUGUUGGGGUUGUAGGACACUCUAUACGGAGUUACAAAGGACGACAUUAGACGAAUCAUCUGGAAAGAUGAAUCAAAGAAGGUAAUAAUCCUGUAGUCGAAAAUGUUGUCUCUCUUGAGUGGAUCCUGAGUACGACGGAGCACGUGAAAUUCCGUCGGAAUCUGGGAGGACCAUCUCCUAAGGCUAAAUACUCUCUAGUGACCGAUAGUGAACCAGUACCGUGAGGGAAAGGUGAAAAGCACCCCGGAAGGGGAGUGAAAUAGAACCUGAAACCGUGUGCUUACAAGUAGUCAGAGCCCGUUAAUGGGUGAUGGCGUGCCUUUUGUAGAAUGAACCGGCGAGUUACGAUUUGAUGCAAGGUUAAGCAGUAAAUGUGGAGCCGUAGCGAAAGCGAGUCUGAAUAGGGCGUUUAGUAUUUGGUCGUAGACCCGAAACCAGGUGAUCUACCCUUGGUCAGGUUGAAGUUCAGGUAACACUGAAUGGAGGACCGAACCGACUUACGUUGAAAAGUGAGCGGAUGAACUGAGGGUAGCGGAGAAAUUCCAAUCGAACCUGGAGAUAGCUGGUUCUCUCCGAAAUAGCUUUAGGGCUAGCCUCAAGUGAUGAUUAUUGGAGGUAGAGCACUGUUUGGACGAGGGGCCCCUCUCGGGUUACCGAAUUCAGACAAACUCCGAAUGCCAAUUAAUUUAACUUGGGAGUCAGAACAUGGGUGAUAAGGUCCGUGUUCGAAAGGGAAACAGCCCAGACCACCAGCUAAGGUCCCAAAAUAUAUGUUAAGUGGAAAAGGAUGUGGCGUUGCCCAGACAACUAGGAUGUUGGCUUAGAAGCAGCCAUCAUUUAAAGAGUGCGUAAUAGCUCACUAGUCGAGUGACACUGCGCCGAAAAUGUACCGGGGCUAAACAUAUUACCGAAGCUGUGGAUUGUCCUUUGGACAAUGGUAGGAGAGCGUUCUAAGGGCAUUGAAGCAUGAUCGUAAGGACAUGUGGAGCGCUUAGAAGUGAGAAUGCCGGUGUGAGUAGCGAAAGACGGGUGAGAAUCCCGUCCACCGAUUGACUAAGGUUUCCAGAGGAAGGCUCGUCCGCUCUGGGUUAGUCGGGUCCUAAGCUGAGGCCGACAGGCGUAGGCGAUGGAUAACAGGUUGAUAUUCCUGUACCACCUAUAAUCGUUUUAAUCGAUGGGGGGACGCAGUAGGAUAGGCGAAGCGUGCGAUUGGAUUGCACGUCUAAGCAGUAAGGCUGAGUAUUAGGCAAAUCCGGUACUCGUUAAGGCUGAGCUGUGAUGGGGAGAAGACAUUGAGUCUUCGAGUCGUUGAUUUCACACUGCCGAGAAAAGCCUCUAGAUAGAAAAUAGGUGCCCGUACCGCAAACCGACACAGGUAGUCAAGAUGAGAAUUCUAAGGUGAGCGAGCGAACUCUCGUUAAGGAACUCGGCAAAAUGACCCCGUAACUUCGGGAGAAGGGGUGCUCUUUAGGGUUAACGCCCAGAAGAGCCGCAGUGAAUAGGCCCAAGCGACUGUUUAUCAAAAACACAGGUCUCUGCUAAACCGUAAGGUGAUGUAUAGGGGCUGACGCCUGCCCGGUGCUGGAAGGUUAAGAGGAGUGGUUAGCUUCUGCGAAGCUACGAAUCGAAGCCCCAGUAAACGGCGGCCGUAACUAUAACGGUCCUAAGGUAGCGAAAUUCCUUGUCGGGUAAGUUCCGACCCGCACGAAAGGCGUAACGAUUUGGGCACUGUCUCAACGAGAGACUCGGUGAAAUCAUAGUACCUGUGAAGAUGCAGGUUACCCGCGACAGGACGGAAAGACCCCGUGGAGCUUUACUGUAGCCUGAUAUUGAAAUUCGGCACAGCUUGUACAGGAUAGGUAGGAGCCUUUGAAACGUGAGCGCUAGCUUACGUGGAGGCGCUGGUGGGAUACUACCCUAGCUGUGUUGGCUUUCUAACCCGCACCACUUAUCGUGGUGGGAGACAGUGUCAGGCGGGCAGUUUGACUGGGGCGGUCGCCUCCUAAAAGGUAACGGAGGCGCUCAAAGGUUCCCUCAGAAUGGUUGGAAAUCAUUCAUAGAGUGUAAAGGCAUAAGGGAGCUUGACUGCGAGACCUACAAGUCGAGCAGGGUCGAAAGACGGACUUAGUGAUCCGGUGGUUCCGCAUGGAAGGGCCAUCGCUCAACGGAUAAAAGCUACCCCGGGGAUAACAGGCUUAUCUCCCCCAAGAGUUCACAUCGACGGGGAGGUUUGGCACCUCGAUGUCGGCUCAUCGCAUCCUGGGGCUGUAGUCGGUCCCAAGGGUUGGGCUGUUCGCCCAUUAAAGCGGUACGCGAGCUGGGUUCAGAACGUCGUGAGACAGUUCGGUCCCUAUCCGUCGUGGGCGUAGGAAAUUUGAGAGGAGCUGUCCUUAGUACGAGAGGACCGGGAUGGACAUACCUCUGGUGUACCAGUUGUCGUGCCAACGGCAUAGCUGGGUAGCUAUGUGUGGACGGGAUAAGUGCUGAAAGCAUCUAAGCAUGAAGCCCCCCUCAAGAUGAGAUUUCCCAACUUCGGUUAUAAGAUCCCUCAAAGAUGAUGAGGUUAAUAGGUUCGAGGUGGAAGCAUGGUGACAUGUGGAGCUGACGAAUACUAAUCGAUCGAAGACUUAAUCAA
This 2921-nucleotide ribosomal RNA is filed under the name Staphylococcus aureus. RNAcentral's name for it is "bacterial LSU rRNA". It matches the Rfam family "Bacterial large subunit ribosomal RNA". The record is from RNAcentral. Lineage: Bacteria; Bacillati; Bacillota; Bacilli; Caryophanales; Staphylococcaceae.